Molecule: non-coding RNA, 387 nt
Organism: Rattus rattus (black rat)
Lineage: Eukaryota; Metazoa; Chordata; Mammalia; Rodentia; Muridae
Source: the annotation of a RefSeq genome assembly
CUGACUCUAACCAUGGAAUGGAGCUGGGUCUUUCUCUUCCUGCUGUCAGUAGCUGCAGGUGUCCACUCCCAAGUUAAUCUGCAGCAGUCUGGGGCUGAGUUGGUAAAGCCUGGUGCUUCAGUGAAGUUGUCCUGCAAGACUUCUGGUUACACCUUCAGCACUAGCUAUAUGAGUUGGUUCAAGCAGAUUCCUGUACAGAGUAUUGAGUGGAUUGGACUGAUUUAUGCUGGAGAUGGUGGUACUAGCUAUAAUCAGAAGUUCAAGGGCAAGGCCGCACUUACUGUAGACACAUCUUCCAGCACAGCGUACAUGGAUCUCAGCAGCCUGACAUCUGAGGACUCUGCAGUCUAUUUUUGUGCAAGGCACAGUGUUGUAACCACAUCCUGA